CCUCCCUCCCUCCUCUGUUCACCAGGGGAGGACGUGGGCACCGGCGAUGGCCGCCACGGCAGAGGGCGUCACCAUGGCGCCCAUCCGCCACCCCCCGGCGCCUACUUAACCGGCGCCCCUCUCUCCACGGAAACCCUAGGCCACCCCGUUCCCCUUCCUCCCUCUCCUCACGCCCUCGUUUGCACGAUCCCGCAUCUCACCGCGCGCGGUCAUCGCCUUGUCAUUGUCGUCCCCGUGGUUGGCUGCAUCCCUGCGCUGCGCCACCACGUCCUGGAGCUUCCCCGCCCUCGCCUUCGUCUCCCUCACCACUGGAUCGAGCCCGGGGCCUUGCAUCGCGCCGUUGCCUACUUCGUCUUCUUCCUCGAAUCACCAUCACCGUUCGCCGUUGAUCUUCUCCAACGCCGGCCACCACGAGCCCUCCCCGACUCCACUCGUGCACACCUACAGGCUCCCGCUACGCCACUCGCUGAAGCUGGUCUUUGGCAAUCGAUGGGCGGUCUUCGUCGCUCUGGUGACUCUUCAGGCUGAAGUGCAACCUUCUGAAGCGAUGGGUCUGUCUGCGCGCCUCUUUCUUCUUCCUAGGGCUAUGCCAACAAGGAGGUAGUGUUUCUUCUAUUUGGGGCUAUGUAUGGCCUCGAGCCAUACUGCCAUAGCAACCUCGUUGCCUCAAGUGGCUCGUCCCCGACGGCAGCAAGAUGCAACCUACACUGACGCAGGGACCUGAUCAUGUUUUUGUCUCUCAGUUUGAGGUCCUUUUUUGUAAAAGUCCAUGGAUUUGUUAUGUAUUUUCUUGUUUCUUUAGGGCCUAGAUGUCAUAUGUGUUGUAUCAUGUUAUUACGAUGGUAAUAAAACUUCGGGAUCCCUCCCUGUUAAAAUAAACUUUGACAAUAACGCCUGUAAAUAAAUAAUGUUUUUCA
This is a long non-coding RNA of Triticum aestivum (bread wheat), 917 nucleotides long. RefSeq lists it as uncharacterized. The transcript has 2 exons. The record is from RefSeq and is a predicted model, not a curated record. Lineage: Eukaryota; Viridiplantae; Streptophyta; Magnoliopsida; Poales; Poaceae.